GACGAACGCUGGCGGCGUGCUUAACACAUGCAAGUCGAACGGAAAGGCCUGCUUUGCCUUUUGGAUUGCGGGUACUCGGGUGGCUAACGGGUAAGUAACUCGCUAGUAAUCUGCCCCCAAGUUGGGUAUAAGCCUGGGAAACUGCGUCUAAUUCCCGAGAGGACGGCAGGGUGGUUCCUGUGGUGGGAUACGAUUUUCUAGUGGGUCGGGAUGGGCUGGGGGCGGAUUAGCUAGUUGGGGGGGGAAAGGCCGACCAGGGCGACGACGGGUAACCGGACGGGGAGGGUGAGCAGUGACACGGGAACUGAGACACGGUCCAGACUCCUACGGGAGGCAGCAGUGGGGAAUAUUGGACAAUGGGCGAAAGCCUGAUCCAGCCAUGCCGCGUGUGUGAAGAAGGUCUUCGGAUUGUAAAGCACUUUAAGUUGGGAGGAAGGGCAGUAAGUUAAUACCUUGCUGUUUUGACGUUACCAACAGAAUAAGCACCGGCUAACUUCGUG
RNAcentral lists this ribosomal RNA (500 nucleotides) under uncultured bacterium. RNAcentral's name for it is "partial 16S ribosomal RNA". It matches the Rfam family "Bacterial small subunit ribosomal RNA", at positions 28 to 507 of the family's 1533-position model. The record is from RNAcentral.